CCUAAGGCCAGCGAGAGAACUGUUGUUAAGGAACUCGGCAAAAUGACCCCGUAACUUAGGGAUAAGGGGUGCCACCAUCAGGUGGCCGCAGAGAAUAGGCCCAAGCGACUGUUUACCAAAAACAUAGGUUUCUGCUAAGUCGCAAGACGAUGUAUAGGAGCUGACGCCUGCCCGGUGCUGGAAGGUUAAGGGGAUCUGUUAGAGUAAUCGAAGCAGUGAACUUAAGCCCCAGUAAACGGCGGCCGUAACUAUAACGGUCCUAAGGUAGCGAAAUUCCUUGUCGGGUAAGUUCCGACCCGCACGAAAGGCGUAACGAUUUGGGCACUGUCUCAACAACAGACUCGGUGAAAUUGUAAUUCCGGUGAAGAUGCCGGAUACCUGCGACAGGACGGAAAGACCCCAUGGAGCUUUACUGUAGCUUGACAUUGGGU
RNAcentral lists this ribosomal RNA (431 nucleotides) under Clostridioides difficile. RNAcentral's name for it is "partial 23S ribosomal RNA". It matches the Rfam family "Bacterial large subunit ribosomal RNA", at positions 1680 to 2122 of the family's 2925-position model. Lineage: Bacteria; Bacillati; Bacillota; Clostridia; Peptostreptococcales; Peptostreptococcaceae. The record is from RNAcentral.